RNAcentral lists this ribosomal RNA (425 nucleotides) under uncultured bacterium. RNAcentral describes it as "bacterial SSU rRNA". It matches the Rfam family "Bacterial small subunit ribosomal RNA", at positions 354 to 796 of the family's 1533-position model. The record is from RNAcentral.
GUGGGGAAUCUUGCACAAUGGGGGAAACCCUGAUGCAGCGACGCCGCGUGAGCGAUGAAGCCCUUCGGGGUGUAAAGCUCUUUCGACGGGAACGAUAAUGACGGUACCCGGAGAAGAAGCUGCGGCUAACUACGUGCCAGCAGCCGCGGUAAUACGUAGGCAGCGAGCGUUGUUCGGAGUUACUGGGCGUAAAGAGUAUGUAGGCGGUUGCGCAAGUUCGGUGUGAAAUCUCCCGGCUUAACUGGGAGGGUGCGCCGAAGACUGCGUGGCUAGAGUGCGGGAGAGGAGAGCGGAAUUCCUGGUGUAGCGGUGAAAUGCGUAGAUAUCAGGAGGAACACCGGUGGUGUAGACGGCUCUCUGGACCGCAACUGACGCUGAGAUACGAAAGCGUGGGGAGCAAACAGGAUUAGAAACCCUAGUAGUCC